RNAcentral lists this non-coding RNA (90 nucleotides) under uncultured Enterovibrio sp. Its description in RNAcentral is "Cyclic di-GMP-I riboswitch". It matches the Rfam family "c-di-GMP-I riboswitch aptamer". From Rfam's summary of the family: GEMM was predicted in a large-scale screen for bacterial structured RNA regulatory elements. Genes associated with GEMM are involved in a diverse array of functions, including chemotaxis regulation, signal transduction, secretion and chitin. The record is from RNAcentral. Lineage: Bacteria; Pseudomonadati; Pseudomonadota; Gammaproteobacteria; Vibrionales; Vibrionaceae.
GAAAAGGCAAACCACGUCGAAAGCGUGGGACGCAAAGCUUCCGGCCUUCCAAUUCAGAAUCGUCUGUUUUGUUGGUAGCGGAGUUACCGA